GGCUCUCUCCGUAAAGCAGACAACAGGUCACUAGGCUCUCUCCGUAAAGCAGGCAACAGGUCACUAGGCUCUCUCCGUAAAGCAGGCAACAGGUCACUAGGCUCUCUCCGUAAAGCAGGCAACAGGUCACUAGGCUCUCUCCGUAAAGCAGGCAACAGGUCACUAGGCUCUCUCCGUAAAGCAGGCAACAGGUCACUAGGCUCUCUCCGUAAAGCAGGCAACAGGUCACUAGGCUCUCUCCGUAAAGCAGACAACAGGUCACUAGGCUCUCUCCGUAAAGCAGACAACAGGUCACUAGGCUCUCUCCGUAAAGCAGACAACAGGUCACUAGGCUCUCUCCGUAAAGCAGACAACAGGUCACUAGGCUCUCUCCGUAAAGCAGACAACA
Oncorhynchus keta (chum salmon) is the source of this 388-nucleotide long non-coding RNA. RefSeq lists it as uncharacterized. The transcript is spliced from 4 exons. Lineage: Eukaryota; Metazoa; Chordata; Actinopteri; Salmoniformes; Salmonidae. The record is from RefSeq and is a predicted model, not a curated record.